This 432-nucleotide ribosomal RNA is filed under the name uncultured bacterium. Its description in RNAcentral is "partial 16S ribosomal RNA". It matches the Rfam family "Bacterial small subunit ribosomal RNA", at positions 29 to 507 of the family's 1533-position model. The record is from RNAcentral.
ACGAACGCUUGCGGCAUGCCUAACACAUGCAAGUCGAACGAGACCUUCGGGUCUAGUGGCGCACGGGUGCGUAACGCGUGGGAACCUGCCCUUAGGUUCGGAAUAACUCCCCGAAAGGGGUGCUAAUACCGGAUAAUGUCUUCGGACCAAAGAUUUAUCGCCUUUGGAUGGGCCCGCGUUGGAUUAGCUAGUUGGUAGGGUAAAAGCCUACCAAUGCGACGAUCCAUAGCUGGUCUGAGAGGAUGAUCAGCCACACUGGGACUGAGACACGGCCCAGACUCCUACGGGAGGCAGCAGUGGGGAAUAUUGGACAAUGGGCGAAAGCCUGAUCCAGCCAUGCCGCGUGAGUGAUGAAGGCCUUAGGGUUGUAAAGCUCUUUUACCCGGGAUGAUAAUGACAGUACCGGGAGAAUAAGCUCCGGCUAACUCCGUG